GACGAACGCUGGCGGCGUGCCUAAUACAUGCAAGUUGAGCGAUGAAGAUUGGUGCUUGCACCAAUUUGAAGAGCAGCGAACGGGUGAGUAACGCGUGGGGAAUCUGCCUUUGAGCGGGGGACAACAUUUGGAAACGAAUGCUAAUACCGCAUAACAACUUUAAACAUAAGUUUUAAGUUUGAAAGAUGCAAUUGCAUCACUCAAAGAUGAUCCCGCGUUGUAUUAGCUAGUUGGUGAGGUAAAGGCUCACCAAGGCGAUGAUACAUAGCCGACCUGAGAGGGUGAUCGGCAACAUUGGGACUGAGACACGGCCCAAACUCCUACGGGAGGCAGCAGUAGGGAAUCUUCGGCAAUGGACGAAAGUCUGACCGAGCAACGCCGCGUGAGUGAAGAAGGUUUUCGGAUCGUAAAACUCUGUUGGUAGAGAAGAACGUUGGUGAGAGUGGAAAGCUCAUCAAGUGACGGUAACUACCCAGAAAGGGACGGCUAACUACGUG
Molecule: ribosomal RNA, 497 nt
Filed under: uncultured bacterium
Lineage: Bacteria
Description: partial 16S ribosomal RNA
Rfam family: Bacterial small subunit ribosomal RNA
Source: RNAcentral